Molecule: transfer RNA, 361 nt
Filed under: uncultured Microcystis sp.
Lineage: Bacteria; Bacillati; Cyanobacteriota; Cyanophyceae; Chroococcales; Microcystaceae
Description: partial 16S-23S ribosomal RNA intergenic spacer
Rfam family: tRNA (bases 136-209)
Source: RNAcentral
AAAGGGAGACCUAAUUCAGGUAAAAGACGAAAAAAAAGUAGUCGCUACCAAGAAUCAAUCCCAAAAGGUCGGAGCGAGGCGAAAUUGGCUUUCAAACUAGGUUCUGGGUUCAAACAAGACCUGAAUCAGGAACAAGGGCUAUUAGCUCAGGUGGUUAGAGCGCACCCCUGAUAAGGGUGAGGUCCCUGGUUCGAGUCCAGGAUGGCCCACCUGCACAGGUGGCAAAAACAAGAGAAGCGAGGAAUCAGCACCUUAUCUUACUUAUAUAGUAAGAGAGAAUGCUGGCUCUGAGUAAAGAGUCCAGAGGAACCCUGAAAACUGCAUAGAGCUAGGUGAAAAAGCCAAAAAAGAAGACCGCAAG